AUGACACUUCCAAGCACAUUCAAAGGUUCAGUCAGUCCUUUUCCUGGGGUGGUUUUUUUCCACCUUGGCCAGCAAAGUUACACUCUCACUGCUUGCCCCAAAACCCGCCUGCAGCCCAGGGCUGGGGCACCACGCCUCACACUCCAGCGCCCCGAACCCCCAGCUGAGAGGGAGACAGCGGUCCCUCGAGGCCAGCAGCCACUGGCACUGUCCACGCGGAGGGAUGCGAGGGUGCGAGGAGCGGCUCCCAACCCCGCACCCCGAAUCCUCGACCCAACUUUGGCCCGAGAGUCCCACUUCUGGCGGCCCAGCCCCGAGCCGCGCGCGGGGGCCCGCUGCUCUCUCGCCUCUCCGGGGCUCCUCCGCCUCCUGCCCGGCGGCUCCUGGGGCGUCACUCGGCCUCAGUCCCCCCGGCGAUCCCCCCUGCAACUCCUCCACCACGGGCCCGAGGAGACCCCCCUCUCCGGGCGGCGGACACGGGCGGCUCGCGCCGGCUGCUCGCAAGUAGAGAUAACACCUCUUGGAGUUUGUCUCCCAUGA
Molecule: long non-coding RNA, 540 nt
Filed under: Canis lupus familiaris (dog)
Lineage: Eukaryota; Metazoa; Chordata; Mammalia; Carnivora; Canidae
Description: lncRNA (ENSCAFG00040013201.1)
Source: RNAcentral